AGAGUUUGAUUCUGGCUCAGAACGAACGCUGGCGGCACGCCUAACACAUGCAAGUCGAGCGCUCACUUCGGUGGGAGCGGCGGACGGGUUAGUAACGCGUGGGAACAUACCCUUUACUACGGAAUAGCCUUUGGAAACGAAGAGUAAUACCGUAUACGCCCUACGGGGGAAAGAUUUAUCGGUAAAGGAUUGGCCCGCGUUAGAUUAGAUAGUUGGUGGGGUAACGGCCUACCAAGUCUACGAUCUAUAGCUGGUUUGAGAGGAUGAUCAGCAACACUGGGACUGAGACACGGCCCAGACUCCUACGGGAGGCAGCAGUGGGGAAUCUUAGACAAUGGGGGAAACCCUGAUCUAGCGAUGCCGCGUGUGUGACGAAGGCCUUAGGGUCGUAAAGCACUUUCGCCAGAGAUGAUAAUGACAGUAUCUGGUAAAGAAACCCCGGCUAACUCCGUGCCAGCAGCCGCGGUAAUACGGAGGGGGUUAGCGUUGUUCGGAAUUACUGGGCGUAAAGCGUACGUAGGCGGAUUAGUAAGUUAGAGGUGAAAUCCCAGGGCUCAACCCUGGAACUGCCUUUAAUACUGCUAGUCUAGAGUUCGAGAGAGGUGAGUGGAAUUCCAAGUGUAGAGGUGAAAUUCGUAGAUAUUUGGAGGAACACCAGUGGCGAAGGCGGCUCACUGGCUCGAUACUGACGCUGAGGUACGAAAGUGUGGGGAGCAAACAGGAUUAGAUACCCUGGUAGUCCACACUGUAAACGAUGAAUGCCAGUCGUCGGGUAGUAUACUAUUCGGUGACACACCUAACGGAGUAAGCAUUCCGCCUGGGGAGUACGGUCGCAAGAUUGAAACUCAAAGGAAUUGACGGGGGCCC
RNAcentral lists this ribosomal RNA (867 nucleotides) under uncultured Nereida sp. RNAcentral's name for it is "bacterial SSU rRNA". It matches the Rfam family "Bacterial small subunit ribosomal RNA", at positions 8 to 922 of the family's 1533-position model. The record is from RNAcentral. Lineage: Bacteria; Pseudomonadati; Pseudomonadota; Alphaproteobacteria; Rhodobacterales; Roseobacteraceae.